Non-coding RNA from Canis lupus familiaris (dog), 106 nucleotides. The record is from Rfam. Lineage: Eukaryota; Metazoa; Chordata; Mammalia; Carnivora; Canidae.
AGGAGGAACAACCGCAGUGGCUGCGGCCAGCUCUGGAGCCCUGGAGUCAGCCCCCGCAGUAACUCCGGAGCUCUCCGUCUGCAGGGCCUGGAGGCUCCGGGGCGGG